GAAGGGGGGAUUUCAUCAGUAUACAUGUGGGAAGAUAAUGAAGACUUUGUGGCUUGCUACCUAAUAACGAAAGAUUGCUCAAAGUCAGGGCAUGGCUGAAGAAGUUAUUUGCAAGAAGGUGCAUGGGAUGCUAUUCAUGUUAUUGAAUACAUAUGGACAAAACUAGACAAAACUCGAGUUCAACUUCCGAAUUUGAAGUGUUGUGGCAUAUUUCUGCAUAUGGUAUUGUUCAAAAGUUAAGAGGACUUUUAAUCAUCACAUGUGGCAUAUUUCUGCAUAUGGUAUUGUCAGAUUUCUUAACUCAGCUCCUUGUUGAAUCUUGCAAAUUUCUAUUACUAAGAAUACUAUACUCAGAAAGUUGUGUUGGUGUUUUUUUUUUUUCCUGGUUGUAUUUAUUAAAUAGGUAUGAGAUGAGUUGCACUAGUAGGAGCCUCACCUACUUUGAAUUGGUUGUGUAUGGAUGCUAUCGAAUUUGGUUGCAAUUAAAAGUAUACUAAAGUGGAAAUAAGCAAAAGUACUUGGCAAUCAUAUUCAAGGACUUGGCUUCUAGUUGCAACUAUGCCACUUUCAAGUCAGAUUGGAAAGGAAUAUGGUUCCAGUUUGAGGCUUACUUCUUCAUUACAAUAAUUAGGGAACACCAUUAGCUUAAUUGUACAUACAAA
Magnolia sinica is the source of this 662-nucleotide long non-coding RNA. RefSeq lists it as uncharacterized. The record is from RefSeq and is a predicted model, not a curated record. The transcript is spliced from 3 exons. NCBI's taxonomy places the organism in Eukaryota, Viridiplantae, Streptophyta, Magnoliopsida, Magnoliales, Magnoliaceae.